GGAGCUGGCGGCAUGCUUUCACAUGCAAGUCGAACGGUAACAGGGAGCUUGCUCCGCUGACGAGUGGCGAACGGGUGAGUAAUAUAUCGGAACGUACCCAGAAGUGGGGGAUAACGUAGCGAAAGUUACGCUAAUACCGCAUACGAUCCACGGAUGAAAGUAGGGGACCUUCGGGCCUUAUGCUUUUGGAGCGGCCGAUAUCUGAUUAGCUAGUUGGUAGGGUAAAGGCCUACCAAGGCGACGAUCAGUAGCUGGUCUGAGAGGACGACCAGCCACACUGGAACUGAGACACGGUCCAGACUCCUACGGGAGGCAGCAGUGGGGAAUUUUGGACAAUGGGCGCAAGCCUGAUCCAGCAAUGCCGCGUGAGUGAAGAAGGCCUUCGGGUUGUAAAGCUCUUUUGUCAGGGAAGAAACGGUAGAGGCUAAUAUCCUUUACUAAUGACGGUACCUGAAGAAUAAGCACCGGCUAACUACGUGCCAGCAGCCGCGGUAAUACGUAGGGUGCAAGCGUUAAUCGGAAUUACUGGGCGUAAAGCGUGCGCAGGCGGUUUUGUAAGUCUGACGUGAAAUCCCCGGGCUCAACCUGGGAAUUGCGUUGGAGACUGCAAGGCUAGAAUCUGGCAGAGGGGGGUAGAAUUCCACGUGUAGCAGUGAAAUGCGUAGAGAUGUGGAGGAACACCGAUGGCGAAGGCAGCCCCCUGGGUCAAGAUUGACGCUCAUGCACGAAAGCGUGGGGAGCAAACAGGAUUAGAUACCCUGGUAGUCCACGCCCUAAACGAUGUCUACUAGUUGUCGGGUUUUAAUUAACUUGGUAACGCAGCUAACGCGUGAAGUAGACCGCCUGGGGAGUACGGUCGCAAGAUUAAAACUCAAAUGAAUUGACGGAAGGGCGAA
This 896-nucleotide ribosomal RNA is filed under the name uncultured Massilia sp. RNAcentral describes it as "bacterial SSU rRNA". It matches the Rfam family "Bacterial small subunit ribosomal RNA", at positions 32 to 925 of the family's 1533-position model. Lineage: Bacteria; Pseudomonadati; Pseudomonadota; Betaproteobacteria; Burkholderiales; Oxalobacteraceae. The record is from RNAcentral.